GGUUUGCACCCCAGACGGGCUAGACAGUGUAGCUACUCAAACGCUAGAGGACACUGUGAGGAGAGGAGCUGCUGCUGAACGAACCAGAAUGGAAGACAAUGCCCUCUGAUGUUCGCUAUACGUGUGAGGCUGGUAAUUGAACCUGGGAGAGAUGACAGCUGGCUCGGGGCCGUAACAAGGUGUGUGCUGUAGAAGGCGGGUGCAGCGUAGCCUUGUGUCCCCAGCAUGAAGGGGGACAGGACGUGGCUGGCGGUGAGGAAAGGCAGCUGGACCAGACUGCCGGCGGGGGGGUGAUGGUGGCUGGCGUAGCCAGC
Molecule: long non-coding RNA, 314 nt
Organism: Sebastes umbrosus (honeycomb rockfish)
Lineage: Eukaryota; Metazoa; Chordata; Actinopteri; Perciformes; Sebastidae
Exons: 3
Source: RefSeq, a predicted model, not a curated record